GGGGAAUUUUCCGCAAUGGGCGAAAGCCUGACGGAGCAACGCCGCGUGAGGGACGAAGGCCUCUGGGCUGUAAACCUCUUUCACCAAGGAAGAAGAUAUGACGGUACGUGAUGAAUAAGCCACGGCUAAAUCCGCGCCAGCAGCCGCGGUAAUACGGGAGAGGCAAGCGAUAUCCCGAUUGAUAGGGCGUAAAGAGUCCGCAGGCGGCCCCGAAAGUCCGUGGGGAAAGCGCGG
RNAcentral lists this ribosomal RNA (234 nucleotides) under uncultured cyanobacterium. RNAcentral describes it as "partial 16S ribosomal RNA". It matches the Rfam family "Bacterial small subunit ribosomal RNA", at positions 356 to 605 of the family's 1533-position model. Lineage: Bacteria; Bacillati; Cyanobacteriota. The record is from RNAcentral.